This 256-nucleotide ribosomal RNA is filed under the name uncultured bacterium. Its description in RNAcentral is "partial 16S ribosomal RNA". It matches the Rfam family "Bacterial small subunit ribosomal RNA", at positions 524 to 776 of the family's 1533-position model. The record is from RNAcentral.
GACAUAGGUGACGAACGUUAUCCGGAAUUAUUGGGCGUAAAGGAUGCGUAGAUGGUUCGAUAAGUUAUUGGUGGGAAAUCGAGGCCCAACCUCGUGGAAGCUGGUAAUACUGUCGAGCUUGAGUGCAGGAGAGGUUAACGGAACUUUAUGUGGAGCGGUAAAAUGCGUAGAUAUAUGGAAGAACAUCAAUAACGGCGAAGGCAGUUAACUAUUCUGUUACUGACGUUGAGGCACGAAAGCGUGGGGAGCAAAACGG